UGAACAGGAUGACUGUCUGCCUGGUCAGCAC
Molecule: non-coding RNA, 31 nt
Filed under: Homo sapiens (human)
Lineage: Eukaryota; Metazoa; Chordata; Mammalia; Primates; Hominidae
Source: RNAcentral